RNAcentral lists this ribosomal RNA (478 nucleotides) under uncultured bacterium. RNAcentral describes it as "partial 16S ribosomal RNA". It matches the Rfam family "Bacterial small subunit ribosomal RNA", at positions 28 to 507 of the family's 1533-position model. The record is from RNAcentral.
GAUGAACGCUAGCGGCAGGCCUAACACAUGCAAGUCGAGGGAGAAGCCCUUUCGGGGGCAGAAACCGGCGCACGGGUGCGUAACGCGUAUGCAACCUACCUUUCACAGGGUGAUAGCCCGAAGAAAUUUGGAUUAAUACCCCAUAAUAUUAUUGGAUGGCAUCAUUUGAUAAUUAAAACUGCUGUGGUGAACGAUGGGCAUGCGUCCUAUUAGCUAGUUGGAGUGGUAACGGCACCCCAAGGCUACGAUAGGUAGGGGUCCUGAGAGGGAGAUCCCCCACACUGGUACUGAGACAGGGACCAGACUCCUACGGGAGGCAGCAGUGAGGAAUAUUGGGCAAUGGUCGGAAGACUGAACCAGCCAUGCCGCGUGCAGGAAGAAUGCCUUAUGGGUUGUAAACUGCUUUUAUAUGGGAAGAAUAAGGCGUACGUGUACGUUGAUGACGGUACCAAAUGAAUAAGCAUCGGCUAACUCCGUG